GAUGAACGCUGGCGGCGUGCUUAACACAUGCAAGUCGAACGAAGCACUUAAACGGAAGUUUUCGGAUGGAAGAUUAAGUGACUGAGUGGCGGACGGGUGAGUAACGCGUGGGCAACCUGCCUCAUACAAGGGGAUAACAGUUAGAAAUAGCUGCUAAUACCGUAUAAGCUUACGGUACCGCAUGGUACAGUAAGAAAAACUCCGGUGGUAUGAGAUGGGCCCGCGUCUGAUUAGCUAGUUGGUAAGGUAACGGCUUACCAAGGCGACGAUCAGUAGCCGACCUGAGAGGGUGACCGGCCACAUUGGGACUGAGACACGGCCCAAACUCCUACGGGAGGCAGCAGUGGGGAUAUUGCACAAUGGGGGAAACCCUGAUGCAGCGACGCCGCGUGAGUGAAGACGGCCUUCGGGUUGUAAAGCUCUGUCAACGGGGACGAUAAUGACGGUACCCGUGAAGGAAGCCACGGCUAACUACGUGCCAGCAGCCGCGGUAACAC
This 497-nucleotide ribosomal RNA is filed under the name uncultured bacterium. RNAcentral's name for it is "bacterial SSU rRNA". It matches the Rfam family "Bacterial small subunit ribosomal RNA", at positions 28 to 526 of the family's 1533-position model. The record is from RNAcentral.